Molecule: ribosomal RNA, 769 nt
Filed under: Staphylococcus sp. SK77
Lineage: Bacteria; Bacillati; Bacillota; Bacilli; Caryophanales; Staphylococcaceae
Description: bacterial SSU rRNA
Rfam family: Bacterial small subunit ribosomal RNA
Source: RNAcentral
GAUGAGAAGCUUGCUUCUCUGAUGUUAGCGGCGGACGGGUGAGUAACACGUGGGUAACCUACCUAUAAGACUGGGAUAACUCCGGGAAACCGGGGCUAAUACCGGAUAAUAUUUUGAACCGCAUGGUUCGAUAGUGAAAGACGGUUUCGGCUGUCACUUAUAGAUGGACCCGCGCCGUAUUAGCUAGUUGGUAAGGUAACGGCUUACCAAGGCGACGAUACGUAGCCGACCUGAGAGGGUGAUCGGCCACACUGGAACUGAGACACGGUCCAGACUCCUACGGGAGGCAGCAGUAGGGAAUCUUCCGCAAUGGGCGAAAGCCUGACGGAGCAACGCCGCGUGAGUGAUGAAGGUCUUCGGAUCGUAAAACUCUGUUGUUAGGGAAGAACAAAUUUGUUAGUAACUGAACAAGUCUUGACGGUACCUAACCAGAAAGCCACGGCUAACUACGUGCCAGCAGCCGCGGUAAUACGUAGGUGGCAAGCGUUAUCCGGAAUUAUUGGGCGUAAAGCGCGCGUAGGCGGUUUCUUAAGUCUGAUGUGAAAGCCCACGGCUCAACCGUGGAGGGUCAUUGGAAACUGGGAAACUUGAGUGCAGAAGAGGAGAGUGGAAUUCCAUGUGUAGCGGUGAAAUGCGCAGAGAUAUGGAGGAACACCAGUGGCGAAGGCGGCUCUCUGGUCUGUAACUGACGCUGAUGUGCGAAAGCGUGGGGAUCAAACAGGAUUAGAUACCCUGGUAGUCCACGCCGUAAACGAUGAGUGCUAAGUGU